UGGGGAAUAUUGCACAAUGGGCGCAAGCCUGAUGCAGCCAUGCCGCGUGUAUGAAGAAGGCCUUCGGGUUGUAAAGCACUUUCAGCGAGGAGGAAGGGUAGUGUGUUAAUAGCACAUUGCAUUGACGUUACUCGCAGAAGAAGCACCGGCUAACUCCGUGCCAGCAGCCGCGGUAAUACGGAGGGGGCAAGCGUUAAUCGGAAUUACUGGGCGUAAAGCGCACGCAGGCGGUUUGUUAAGUCCGAUGUGAAAUCCCCGCGCUUAACGUGGGAACUGCAUUUGAAACUGGCAAGCUAGAGUCUUGUAGAGGGGGGUAGAAUUCCAGGUGUAGCGGUGAAAUGCGUAGAGAUCUGGAGGAAUACCGGUGGCGAAGGCGGCCCCCUGGACAAAGACUGACGCUCAGGUGCGAAAGCGUGGGGAGCAAACA
This 427-nucleotide ribosomal RNA is filed under the name uncultured bacterium. RNAcentral describes it as "partial 16S ribosomal RNA". It matches the Rfam family "Bacterial small subunit ribosomal RNA", at positions 355 to 774 of the family's 1533-position model. The record is from RNAcentral.